AUGGGUGAUCCCGUUUGUCUCUGCUGCUUGGACGAGCAGAUGGCCUACCAUGCUCUGUCGGAACUGAAACCCGGAGUGAAGAACUGGAAUGUCUGCGUUCAUGUCUCCCACCUCUGGGAAUACCGCGGUGGCACCGACACUGGUCCGGUGCAACAUGUAGAUAUGGUUCUGGUCAAUAACAAGGGAAAUGCUAUGUACGCUGAGAUAGGAAAGGAUGACUUGGAGCAUAAAGCUCCGCUAUUGGCUGACGGCAACACAUACACUCUGACCAGAUUCAUGGUGUCGCUUGCCACACUAUUGUGGAAGCAGUGGCUGACAUCCAAGAUGGCUUUCUGGAGUUCGUGUACGACCCUAUUCCGUUUCUGGACCUCGCAGCCUAUGUGGGAGAGAACAAGCGCUUUAUAUUGUUGGGUCAUAGUGAGUGUCUCUGCUGCUGCAUUUCUCUGCAUUGCGCGCCAGCCAACUCUGACCACCAAACGCACUAUAGUCCUGGAAGACCACUUUUAUUUCAUUUUCUCUGUUCUUGAGGUUUAUAUAUGGUUCAAACUUCAAACAUAUUAA
RNAcentral lists this ribosomal RNA (561 nucleotides) under Triticum aestivum (bread wheat). RNAcentral's name for it is "partial small subunit ribosomal RNA". Lineage: Eukaryota; Viridiplantae; Streptophyta; Magnoliopsida; Poales; Poaceae. The record is from RNAcentral.